UACGGAGGGUGCAAGCGUUAUCCGGAUUUACUGGGCUUAAAGGGUGCGUAGGCGGGCUAUUAAGUCAGUGGUGAAAUCUCCGGGCUCAACCCGGAAACUGCCAUUGAUACUAUUAGUCUUGAAUUUUGUUGAGGUAGGCGGAAUAAGUCAUGUAGCGGUGAAAUGCAUAGAUAUGACUUAGAACACCAAUUGCGAAGGCAGCUUGCUCAACAAAUAUUGACGCUGAGGCACGAAAGCGUGGGGAUCAAACAGG
Molecule: ribosomal RNA, 253 nt
Filed under: uncultured bacterium
Lineage: Bacteria
Description: partial 16S ribosomal RNA
Rfam family: Bacterial small subunit ribosomal RNA
Source: RNAcentral